Gasterosteus aculeatus aculeatus (three-spined stickleback) is the source of this 837-nucleotide long non-coding RNA. NCBI's taxonomy places the organism in Eukaryota, Metazoa, Chordata, Actinopteri, Perciformes, Gasterosteidae. The record is from Ensembl.
CUUACACCGGACGCUCUGCUUGACGAUCUUGUCUUGCUGGUCUUCAACGGUGAAGUGACUUCAACGUAUCGAGACGCUUGUAUUGGUGCAUUCGGUCUGUAUAUAUAGGCACCGUGAGCCACCGCGAGUCAUCGCGUGCACGCACGCAAACGGGAAACGAUACCCUCAUAUAAUGUCGCUCAUCUGUGACUUCUGCAGCUUUUCCCAGCGCCGCACGUGGAACAAGCCGAGGCGGAGGCGAGCGACCACGAUUCCUCAAAUGUCUCCCCGCGAUCCCGCGAGGAACCUGCUGAUCACCUGAUCCAAAUGAGGCGGGGAAGGGAAACUCCUUGCCUUGAUCCGUGCGCGAGGAAAACAAAACCCCCUCAAAAAAACAGGAGGACUCGUAGAACCGCGGCAGUUGCGCUGCUAAUCUUGCGUAGCCGCGUCUCUGGCUUUCGCAUUACAGCGUCGGAUAAACAAGGCCCAACUUUGCAUUUGCUGAAAGGAACAAAGGCCGAACGACGAGACGGUGCAAUAAAAACAACCGGAUCGAAGGCAACUGGAAGUGAUGAAGGACUCGCUCACACUUACGUCGACGCGCGUUUCGAAUCACAGUGAUGUACGAUCCGCGGCCAUCAGCCAGGCCGACAUUGAUCAGGAGCGGCUGCCAGCGCGCCGUCAAAUCAAUCACGGCGAUUGAUUCAGCAGCUCGAGGAGAAUGCAUGAAUGCAUGAAUGCAUGAAUGCACGGCGCAGGGUUUAACGUUGAGCACCGCAAGAAGAACACGUCGAUGUGACGUUAACAACCAUCACCCUUGAUCAUGACGGUAUCGGUAUCAUAUUAUUAAUAAGUCAG